CGUAUUCGUAAAAAUAUUUGGAAAAGGAAGGGAUAUUCGAUAGCAUUAAAGGCUUUUUCUUUAGCGAAAUCUCUUUCUACCGGGAAUUCAAAAAGUUUUUUUGUACGCCAAACAAAAAUAAAUAAGUAAUAAAAAGUUCGAAUAAUUUGAAUCAACUUGAAAAAAGAAUUCAACUAUUAUCUAAUUGAACAAUUUAACGAUUUCUCUUUCAUGUUUGAUAUUAAUAUUGAUUAGCUCACCAAUCAAUACGUAAUGGAACCCGCUUCGCUUUUCUGAUUAAUAGAUAAAAUAAUAGAAUUAGGAAAUCUUCUAUUUACUGAACAAUAACUUUUUUGUUGACAAAAGAGUAAACAUCAUUUCUAUUCCAAGGUGGGGAGUUUCAUUUUCCCCAUCGACCUAUUUGCAGAAUUCCAUUAAANNNNNNNNNNNNNNNNNNNNNNNNNNNNNNNNNNCCUUAACCCAAUAGAGAAAAUUGCUUAAUGAAAUUCUGUAUGACUGGUUGUCAAUUUUGAGCGAUGCAAAAUAGGUUCUUUUCUUUCUAUUUUGUCCUCAAAAUCCAUUUUUUGUUUCAGAUUUCUGAAAUAAAAUAAAUAGGAAAUAGCUGAUUAAACAAUGAAACCAAAAAAUUUGGGAACUCUAUUCCUUAACUGAGUAUAGAACGGUUUAGUUACAAGAGUUCAAUUCGAGGAAAGCAUAAAAUAUAGGAAAGUCCCAGGUUAAAUAAAAAUAUGAUCAUUACGCUUAAACCGGGUUAUUCUAUUCCACCUCUUAGAAAGAAAAGAACUUUAAAAAAAAUACUUAAUAGCAUGGCGAUACAUUUAUACAACACUUCUACCCUGAGCACAUGCAAUGAAACCGUAGACAGUCAAGUGAAAUCCAAUCCACGAAAUAAUUUGAUAUAUGGACAGCAUCAUUGUGGUAAAGGUCGUAAUGCCAGAGGAAUCAUUACCGCAAGGCAUAGAGGGGGAGGUCAUAAGCGUCUAUACCGUAAAAGUCCCAGGUUAAAUAAAAAUAUGAUCAUUACGCUUAAACCGGGUUAUUCUAUUCCACCUCUUAGAAAGAAAAGAACUUUAAAAAAAAUACUUAAUAGCAUGGCGAUACAUUUAUACAACACUUCUACCCUGAGCACAUGCAAUGAAACCGUAGACAGUCAAGUGAAAUCCAAUCCACGAAAUAAUUUGAUAUAUGGACAGCAUC
This 1197-nucleotide long non-coding RNA is filed under the name Nicotiana benthamiana. Its description in RNAcentral is "long non-coding RNA (NBEN_LNC033002)". The record is from RNAcentral. Lineage: Eukaryota; Viridiplantae; Streptophyta; Magnoliopsida; Solanales; Solanaceae.